This 749-nucleotide ribosomal RNA is filed under the name Trentepohliaceae sp. Kukwa 19347. Its description in RNAcentral is "SSU rRNA". It matches the Rfam family "Eukaryotic small subunit ribosomal RNA", at positions 286 to 1043 of the family's 1831-position model. The record is from RNAcentral. Lineage: Eukaryota; Viridiplantae; Chlorophyta; Ulvophyceae; Trentepohliales; Trentepohliaceae.
GGCGAUGUUUCAUUCAAAUUUCUGCCCUAUCAACUUUCGACGGUAGGGUAGUGGCCUACCGUGGUGGUAACGGGUGACGGAGGAUUAGGGUUCGAUUCCGGAGAGGGAGCCUGAGAAACGGCUACCACAUCCAAGGAAGGCAGCAGGCGCGCAAAUUACCCAAAUCCCAACUCGGGGAGGUAGUGACAAGAAAUAACGAUGCUCCGGCCUCACGGUCGGGUAAUCGGAAUGAGAACAAUUUAAAUCCCUUAUCGAGGAUCAAUUGGAGGGCAAGUCUGGUGCCAGCAGCCGCGGUAAUUCCAGCUCCAAUAGCGUAUAUUUAAGUUGCUGCGGUUAAAAAGCUCGUAGUCGGAUUUCGGGUGGCGCCUACCGGUCCGCCUUUGGUGAGUACUGGUAGGUGCCACCUUUCUGCCGAGGACGGGGUACUGGGCUUAACUGUCUGGGCCCCGGAGUCGGCGAUGUCACUUUGAGUAAAUUAGGGUGUUCAAAGCAGGCUUAUGCUCUGUAUACACUAGCAUGGGAUGACACGAUAGGACUUCGGUUUAUCUUGUCGGUCUGUAGAUCGGAGUAAUGAUUAAGAGGGACAGUCGGGGGCAUUCGUAUUUCGUAGUCAGAGGUGAAAUUCUUGGAUUUACGGAAGACGAACUUCUGCGAAAGCAUUUGCCAAGGAUGUUUUCAUUGAUCAAGAACGAAAGUCGGGGGCUCGAAGACGAUUAGAUACCGUCGUAGUCUCGACCAUAAACGAUGCC